Molecule: small nuclear RNA, 107 nt
Organism: Trichosurus vulpecula (common brushtail)
Lineage: Eukaryota; Metazoa; Chordata; Mammalia; Diprotodontia; Phalangeridae
Source: RefSeq, a predicted model, not a curated record
GUGCUUGCUUCAGCAGUACAUACACUAAAAUUGGAACGAUACAGGGAAGAUUAGCAUGGCCAGUAUGCAAGGAUGACAUACAAAUUCGUGAAGCAUUCCAUAUUUUU